GAGGNGACGGCCCACAUUGGGACUGAGACACGGCCAGACUCCUACGGAAGGCAGCAG
This 57-nucleotide ribosomal RNA is filed under the name uncultured bacterium. RNAcentral describes it as "partial 16S ribosomal RNA". The record is from RNAcentral.